GUGGACAUCUACAUCAUGACGCAGCCACUGUCGGGCAAGUGGAUCCACUUUGGCACCGAGGUCACCAACAGCUCUGGCCGCCUCACCUUCCCGGUGCCCCUGGAGCGUGCGCUGGGCGUCGGCGUUUACCAGUGCGCAUGGUGGUCAGGGGCGACCACACCUACGCCGAAUGCUGCCUAACGGUGGUGGCCCGCGGCACUGAGGCCGUGGUCUUCAGCAUCGACGGCUCCUUCACCGCCAGUGUGUCCAUCAUGGGCAGCGACCCCAAGGUGCGCGCGCCGGCGCGUGGGCGUGGUCAGGUAGGAGCGGCUGCCCUUCUCUUCCCGCUCGCUGUGAGGACUGGUCCCCACCCUGGUGCGCUGGGCUGACCGCCGCCUCCCUGCAGACACUGGCAGGACGCGGCUACCUGAUCGUGUACGUGACGGGCCGUCCUGAUAUGCAGAAGCACCGCGUGGUGGCCUGGCUGUCGCAGCACAACUUCCCCACGGCGUCGUCUCCUUCUGCGAUGGUCUCACUCACGACCCACUCGUCAGAAGGCGAUGUUCCUGCAGAGCCUGGUGCAGGAGGUGUGGUGGUUGGGAGGCCCCGAACCCGUGAUUGCCCGAGAGGAGGCCCGCUUGUUCCCACCAGAUGGCCCUGGCUCCCAGCCUAACAGACCGCACAUCCCGCAAGGGUCUCUAGAGUCCUUGGGGCCAACUAGGGAGAUCCGGCUAGUCCCACCCCCAGCCAGACCUGGUGAUGGAGACUAAGCGGCUCCGCCCUAACCCUUCAGCACUGAACGCCCACCAAACCCCACCUCUGUCUCCGCCCGCUCCCUCUCCCCGUCCCUGGGCUCUGAUUGGCCUCUCCGGCCACAGGUGGAACUGAACCGUGGCCGCCUCGGGUCCCCAAAGACGUGGCCGUGUAUGCGGCGCUGGGCCUGCCCCAAGCCAGACCUACAUCGUGGGCCGUGCCGUGAGGAAGCUGCAGGCGCAGUGCCAGUUCCUGUCCGAUGGCUACGUGGCCCACCUGGGCCAGCUGGAGGCCGGCUCCACCCUCAUGCCACUUGGACCCUCAAGGGCCGCCCUGGCCAAGAGCAGCUAUGGUGGGCUGCCCUGUGGACUUCUUCGAAGCAGAGCCAGCUGCUCCGCUCGAGGGCCCCAGCCAGGCGGAGCGGAGGGCCCUGGGACGCCGCCCACCACCCUGGCCCAGGGGCAGGCGCGGAGCAUCAGCCUCAAGCUGGACAGCGAAGAGUGAGGCUCCAACUGUGGCUGGACUUGGGUUAUUUAUUCAUGCACUCAAGAGCCCCAGUGGAAGGCUGGGCCCUGGCCCCAUGGCUGGCCUGCAUCUGUUUGCCCUCAGGGAUAGUUCCUUCAUGUUGGGGACCCAGCCCUGGGGGCUGGAGGAGGGAGCAGCAAGGGUCCAGAGGCUUUUCCAGCGUGUAA
This 1424-nucleotide long non-coding RNA is filed under the name Bos grunniens (domestic yak). Its description in RNAcentral is "lncRNA (ENSBGRG00000014174.1)". Lineage: Eukaryota; Metazoa; Chordata; Mammalia; Artiodactyla; Bovidae. The record is from RNAcentral.